ACGGAAGGCAGCAGUGGGGAAUAUUGCACAAUGGGGGAAACCCUGAUGCAGCAACGCCGCGUGAAGGAAGACGGUCUUCGGAUUGUAAACUUCUGUUCUUAGUGAAGAUAAUGACGGUAGCUAAGGAGCAAGCCACGGCUAACUACGUGCCAGCAGCCGCGGUAAUACGUAGGUGGCAAGCGUUGUCCGGAAUUACUGGGUGUAAAGGGAGUGUAGGCGGGACUGUAAGUCAGAUGUGAAAUAUGCCGGCUCAACUGGCAGACUGCAUUUGAAACUGCGGUUCUUGAGUGAAGUAGAGGUAAGCGGAAUUCCUAGUGUAGCGGUGAAAUGCGUAGAUAUUAGGAGGAACAUCAGUGGCGAAGGCGGCUUACUGGGCUUUAACUGACGCUGAGGCUCGAAAGCGUGGGGAGCAAACAGGAUUAGAUACCCUGGUA
The sequence is a ribosomal RNA, 434 nucleotides long. It matches the Rfam family "Bacterial small subunit ribosomal RNA", at positions 341 to 792 of the family's 1533-position model.